GCAUUUGUAACUCAAAGACUCAGAGUACCGGUCUUGUAAGCCGGGUGUUGGAGGUUAAAGUCCUCCCUUCUGCU
RNAcentral lists this transfer RNA (74 nucleotides) under Thyrsites atun (snoek). RNAcentral's name for it is "tRNA-Thr". It matches the Rfam family "tRNA". Rfam says of the family: Transfer RNA (tRNA) molecules are approximately 80 nucleotides in length. Their secondary structure includes four short double-helical elements and three loops (D, anti-codon, and T loops). The record is from RNAcentral. Lineage: Eukaryota; Metazoa; Chordata; Actinopteri; Scombriformes; Gempylidae.